CCUACGGGUGGCAGCAGUGAGGAAUAUUGGUCAAUGGGCGCAAGCCUGAACCAGCCAAGUCGCGUGAGGGAUGACGGUCCUAUGGAUUGUAACCCUCUUUUGUCGGGGAGCAAGGCCCGCCACGUGUGGCGGGUAGGAGAGUACCCGCUGAAAAAGCAUCGGCUAACUCCGUGCCAGCAGCCGCGGUAAGACGGAGGAUGCGAAGGUUAUCCGGCUUUAUUGGGUUACAAGGGUGCGUAGGCGGAAGGUUAAGUCAGCGGUCAAAUGUCGGUCCUCAAAACCGGCCUGCCGUUGAAACUGGUCUUCUUGAGUGAGCGAGAGGUAUGCGGAAUGCGUGGUGUAGCGGUGAAAUGCGUAGAGAUCAGGCAGAACACCAGUUGCGAAGGCAGCUUACCGAACGAUAACUGACGUUGAGGCGCGAAAGCGUGGGUAGCAAACAGGAUUAGAUACCCCUGUAGUC
RNAcentral lists this ribosomal RNA (460 nucleotides) under uncultured bacterium. Its description in RNAcentral is "partial 16S ribosomal RNA". It matches the Rfam family "Bacterial small subunit ribosomal RNA", at positions 338 to 795 of the family's 1533-position model. The record is from RNAcentral.